UUUUUCCUAGAUUUUGGCCUUUCUAGGGAGUUUUUACUAGCCACCGUGCUUCUACACCUGCAUUGCUUGCUGUUUGGGGUUUUAUGCUGGGUUUCUGUACAGCACUUUGAGAUAUCAGCUGAUGUAAGAAGGGCUAUAUAAAUACAUUUGAUUUGAAUAAAAUGUCACCCAACAAAAAAUAUAUGCAUGGGAAGGUACCCUUGUUUUGUAGGAAAGGCUUUCUGUCUGAAUUCUAUAGGCAGUCUUCAUGGACACACACAGGUAACAGUUGAACACAUUACAUGGUGAGCAGAAAAUGGCGGAAUCUGAUGCUGAGUUUGAAUCUGAUGGCACUAGCAAAGAUGAGAAUGAAGGUGACGACAAUACUGGACGGACAACCGUCACUGAAGGACAGAUAAAGAGAGCUCAAAUCACAAUGAAAAAAACAUCUAAGCCUACUACUAAUUGAUUUUUAGUAUAAUAAGACAAAUACUUCAACUAGGCCUACUUCACAGUUUGUAGUAGCAGCAUGGUUUAAGGAUAAGAAGAUGUACCUGGGAGAUCUGUUUUGAUGUUAAAUGGUGAAUAAUCUGUUGGGUAAAGUGAAAUCUUUGAGGCUGACGAGAACUGGAAUUCUGUAGAUUUUUUUGUGUCGGCAGAACAAAAGGACUAUGCGUUGCGCCUCACCAGAAUCAAGGAGAAAGAGGUGACUGCCAUCGGAGCAGAGCACCAUUGAAGGGUGUUUUUUCUGGAGUCUCUGUGGAAGUUGGAGUGGAGAAGACCAAUAUGAAAAUGUCUGGAGUGUAGUUGGGAGUGAGUAUAGAGCAGACGGCACGGGUCAAAAUUUUGAUUUAUGGCCCUGUGUCCAGAUGAUGCGUACAUGUCCAAAUAUGGGCAUCCGGCCAGGACAUCCUGUUCCUGUUGUCACGUGUUAGAGGGUGUGUUAUUUUAUAUCUAUAUUGCAUCUAUUCCUUUGAAGUUGUCAUGCUGAUUGAUGUCUAGGUACCUGGUUGAACUGGGGGGUUCUGUGUUUGAACUUUUGAAAGAGUAUGGCCCCACACCCCUGUUUUAUUGCCUGUAGGAUUGCUAUCUAUGAAGCAGGAAUGUGUGUGUGUGUGUGUUAGAAACAAGGUCCCUUGGCAUUGUGUACAUUUCACGCUUUCAACAACAAUAAAACAGCCAUCUAAAUAAUGUUUCUCAGCCUAACACUCUGUUGAGUUUCCUAUUUAGUUCUCUUUAUAUGUACAUGCACAGAGCUUCCAGGUGGUUCCAGCCUAUGGAUGUUCGGUGCAUGUACACCAGGGAGAUUAGAACCUAAACAAGAUUUUUAAAAUAAAACCCAGAAUAUUAAACAUAAAAAUAUGUCUCCUAGGCCAAUUCUCGGGGUGCUAUGCGGCUCAUGUCAUGAACCCAAUGACAAAAGCCUGGAGGAUGUUUUGCGUGAGACCCCAGAAUGUUUUAAUGGAGUUAAUGGAGCCCUAAGAAUCGCUUCAAUGGCGUAUACCCCUGACUCCAAAGUGACAAUUUUAGCAUGUGAACAAUUUGAUAGAUUUCGUCGCAUUUGCACUGUCAGUUCAUAUGUAUUUUCCAAAGCAUGCAAGGAUGUAAACUUUUUUUUUAUGCCUGUGUUAAGUUUUAAAUGGCGUGAUUAUCAUAUCUUCAGAACACUUAUGAAUAAGCUGGACAGUCUUUUCCAAAAUCGUGAACAAUUACGGCGAUGGCCGAGGUUAUCGUUGAGACAAACACAGGACUCGCAAGCCAGAAGGAGGAUCUUUCCCUAGAGUGAAAACGUCCGGAGCUUUGAUGGAGCGGGCAAGCGUCUUUGCGAUGGUGAAUUGGAAACGGAUAAUGGUCAGGGCUAACCAGCCCCUUUAUCUGUCAGAAAUAGUAAAAAUGUUGAAUUAUAACGUGUGUUAAAAUGUAUGUACUAAAUAUUUUGAAUUAAAUCAUUGGUUUUAAAAAUGUAUCUCACCCUUUAACGAAAGGGGAAACUGUCUUUUCUCUCAUGCCCUGGUCUGUCGCAGAGAAAUGCAAUGUCUUAAAAAAACAAUGUAUUAUUUUAUAGUCUUUCC
Molecule: long non-coding RNA, 2051 nt
Organism: Oncorhynchus tshawytscha (Chinook salmon)
Lineage: Eukaryota; Metazoa; Chordata; Actinopteri; Salmoniformes; Salmonidae
Source: Ensembl